RNAcentral lists this transfer RNA (72 nucleotides) under Anolis carolinensis (green anole). It matches the Rfam family "tRNA". Rfam says of the family: Transfer RNA (tRNA) molecules are approximately 80 nucleotides in length. Their secondary structure includes four short double-helical elements and three loops (D, anti-codon, and T loops). Lineage: Eukaryota; Metazoa; Chordata; Lepidosauria; Squamata; Anolidae. The record is from Rfam by way of RNAcentral.
ACCAGCAUAGUGUAGUGAUUAGAGCAUUGGGCUAUGAUUCCGAAAAUCAGGGUUUAAAUCCCUGUUCAGGCA